AAUAUAACUGAAAAGCUUUCCCUGUGUGUCUGUCCCCUGGCCCUGCAACCCCCGAGGCCGCUCGAGAGGAUGCAGAGAAGCCUCCCAAGGACAGCGCGUGGGGCCCCGUUUCUCCCGAACUUCGGCAGGUCGUGUUUUCCCUGGAAACCGGGGCCCAACUCUCAGCUGGCUCCUCUGAGGAUCCCAUGCCCUAAGUUUUCUCUGCAAUGCUAGAAGCUGGCCAGGAUUUCCAACAUUUCAGCAUUCCUAAUUAAAGGAGGAUUGUCUUUAUCGGGCUGGCAGAUGGUGUUCGGCAGUCUGCUAAAACAGAAACGUGUUUGUGAGGCCUUCUCUGUCGAGUUUCAUCAGAAGUAAAUGUAGCAGGCGUACCUUGCCUGUGAGUAACUGGAUCAUACUUUGGGUGUUAUACCUAAGAAAUCUUUGACUAAUUCAUGGACAAAGGUGAAAACUUUUCAAGCACCCAGAACAAUUCAUGGCUACCAGGACACAGAACCUCAACAGCAGAUAACUCAAUAAAGACAGUCCCUGGUUGAGAUGGAAUGACUGAAUAAGCUAAUUCCUUUUCUCAGCGCCCUUCAACAUCGCUGAUUUCAGGGUUGGACUUCGGAGAGUGAUGAGAAGAAAAUAAAAAUCUUCUUUACCUUUUCCACAUCAAAGUCUUUUGUCUCCAUGCAUAAAAAGUAGCCAGGGGAAAAUGAGUGGGAGCAGCUGAAAAGUCAGAGAUGGGGACAAGUGAAGUGGGCUUUAGGAACCCCUGCCACUGACUGACUGCUCUUGAGAUUCAGAUCACAUGUAGAGAACCAGGUAUCACAUGUGAACACUAGUGUGGCAUUGGCAAGAUUAGAUCACUGUUGUUAGUCUAUGUCUAUUGAAUUGAUACUCACGCUUGAAAAGUAACAGUUAAGAAUUGCUGGCAUCUGAAAACUUCUUUUCUUGGAUACUGAAUAGGAGUCUAGAAGACUGAAGAGGCAGGACAUCUUACGUCUGUGCCACACUAAGUCACUUCAGUCCUGUCUGACUCUUCGUGACGCUAUGGACCAGUAGCCCGCCACUCCCCUUGAUCCAUGGAAUUUUCCAGGCAGGAAUACUGGAGUGGGUUGCCAUGUGUUCCUCCAGGGGGUCUUCCCACCCCAGGCAGACCCAGGGAUGGAACCAGUCUUGUGUCUACUGCACCGGCACCUGGGAAGUUCCACCACCAGUUCCACCUGGGAAGCCCAUAUCCUACGUAAAGCACAGUCCUGCUUGUACGGGAUUACAUUUCUUCUGUUCUUCUGUUCUUAUUGAAAGGGAAAGUGUCAGUCCCUCAGCCACAUCCAGCUCUUUGCAACCCCAUGGACUGUAGCCCACCAGGCUCCUCUGUCAGUGAGAUUCUCCAGGCAAGCACAUGGAGUGGGUUGCCGUUUCCUUCUCUGGGGAAUCUUCCUGACCCAGGGAUCCAACCUCAGUCUCCUGAAACUCCUGCAUUGCAAGUGGAUUCUUCACUGCUGAGCCACGCCCGUAGGUGGUGGUGGGCGGGGGGCGGGGGGUACAAUUAUAAUAAUAGGCAUGGUUUAUUCUUUUACAAUUCAAAAGAUUUUUCAGUCCUAGCAAUGACAAAAAGUCAUUUUAGUAUGUAGAAAUUCACACUAAAUUUAUCCUAGCUAUAGGAUACUGGAUGAAAUCUUGGGGCAAUCUGCUUUGUAUUAUAAUACUUCCUUGUAUUUGUACAAUAUUAUUUCCUUAAAAUAUGUGAUUACAAAGCAUAAUACAUAUAAAAUAUAUAAUAUAAAUGAAUGGCUAAAAUAAUAAUAAAAACAUCUCCUGCACCCACUAUUAAUACUUUGAAAUCCUAUGUAGCUUUCCCAAAUUAUAUUCCCCUUUCUUUCUCCUGAAUUUUGUGUAUAGGGUUCCCUCAAGUCUCAGCAUAUAGGAAUGUUCCUAAAUGUUAUCCUUUUUGGCUUGUGUGGUUUUGAACUUUUUAUAAAUUGAAUCAUUAUGUCCUUUUUAAAACUGUAUGUUAAGUUGUGAUGUUUGGCUCUGCUGAUACGCUGUCAUGUCCCUUAUCCACAGGAUAUACUUCCAAGGCUCUCAGUGAAAGCCUUUAAACCUCAGAUAGGACUCCACCUGAUAUUUACUAUAUUUUUCCUAACAUACAUACUCGUGCUAAAGUUUAAUUUCUAAAAUUCGGUACAGUAAGAGAGUAACAAUAACUGGUAAUAAAAUAGUACAAUUAUAACAAUAUAUUUUCAUAAGAGUUAUAUGAAUGUGGUCUCUCUCAGAAUAUCUUAUUGUACAAGUUUAAUGUCUUUUCCAUGUCAACUAAGCCCUGAUUAUGCACUGUGGCUGUAACUUUUGCAGUCUGAGGUGUGACAGCAGACAGCAAAACUAGCAAUUCCUUUUUCCUUCUUCACAAUUUCAUGGCUGGAAGAUUUGUUCUCACCAUAGAUCUCAGCAACCUCUGUGUACGAUGGUUUUUCUUUCCUUAUUAAGUGGAGUACUUUCACCUUUUCAGUUGAUGACGUCUCUUUGGCUCUCAGAAUUGCCUGCGUCACAACUCUUGUGCUUUGGGGCCAUUAUUGUUAAGGUAAAAUAAAGGUGACUUGAACAGAAGCACUGUAAUGCCUUGGUGGUCAUCUGGAUCUCAGAGCCCAGACAGAUGGCUGCUAAGUGACGAACAGGAGGGACCGACGGGAAGAUUCUCCACCAAGGCAGGACCUUGGGAGAUUUCACUGCCACUCAGAGCAGGGUGCAACUUAAAACUUGUGAAUUUUUAGUUUACCCCUGGAAGUUUCCACUUACUAUUUUUGAACUGAGGAAAGCAGAAUGGCAGAUGAAAAGGGGACAACUAUAGUUAACUGCGGUUCAUUCAUUUUUCACUACUAUUCAUUUUGCACUUCAUUAUUAUAUAUAUCACAAGAAGCA
Molecule: long non-coding RNA, 2901 nt
Organism: Cervus elaphus (red deer)
Lineage: Eukaryota; Metazoa; Chordata; Mammalia; Artiodactyla; Cervidae
Exons: 3
Source: RefSeq, a predicted model, not a curated record